GACGAACGCUGGCGGCGUGCUUAACACAUGCAAGUCGAACGGAAAGGCCCUGCUUUUGUGGGGUGCUCGAGUGGCGAACGGGUGAGUAACACGUGAGUAACCUGCCCUUGACUUUGGGAUAACUUCAGGAAACUGGGGCUAAUACCGGAUAGGAGCUCCUGCCGCAUGGUGGGGGUUGGAAAGUUUCGGCGGUUGGGGAUGGACUCGCGGCUUAUCAGCUUGUUGGUGGGGUAGUGGCUUACCAAGGCUUUGACGGGUAGCCGGCCUGAGAGGGUGACCGGCCACAUUGGGACUGAGAUACGGCCCAGACUCCUACGGGAGGCAGCAGUGGGGAAUAUUGCACAAUGGGCGGAAGCCUGAUGCAGCAACGCCGCGUGCGGGAUGACGGCCUUCGGGUUGUAAACCGCUUUCGCCUGUGACGAAGCGUGAGUGACGGUAAUGGGUAAAGAAGCACCGGCUAACUACGUGCCAGCAGCCGCGGUGAUACGUAGGGUGCGAGCGUUGUCCGGAUUUAUUGGGCGUAAAGGGCUCGUAGGUGGUUGAUCGCGUCGGAAGUGUAAUCUUGGGGCUUAACCCUGAGCGUGCUUUCGAUACGGGUUGACUUGAGGAAGGUAGGGGAGAAUGGAAUUCCUGGUGGAGCGGUGGAAUGCGCAGAUAUCAGGAGGAACACCAGUGGCGAAGGCGGUUCUCUGGGCCUUUCCUGACGCUGAGGAGCGAAAGCGUGGGGAGCGAACAGGCUUAGAUACCCUGGUAGUCCACGCUGUAAACGGUGGGUACUAGGUGUGGGGUCCAUUCCACGGGUUCCGUGCCGUAGCUAACGCUUUAAGUACCCCGCCUGGGGAGUACGGCCGCAAGGCUAAAACUCAAAGGAAUUGACGGGGCCCCGCACAAGCGGCGGAGCAUGCGGAUUAAUUCGAUGCAACGCGUAGAACCUUACCUGGGUUUGACAUGGAUCGGGAGCGCUCAGAGAUGGGUGUGCCUCUUUUGGGGUCGGUUCACAGGUGGUGCAUGGCUGUCGUCAGCUCGUGUCGUGAGAUGUUGGGUUAAGUCCCGCAACGAGCGCAACCCUUGUUCACUGUUGCCAGCACGUUAUGGUGGGGACUCAGUGGAGACCGCCGGGGUCAACUCGGAGGAAGGUGGGGAUGACGUCAAGUCAUCAUGCCCCUUAUGUCCAGGGCUUCACGCAUGCUACAAUGGCUGGUACAGAGAGUGGCGAGCCUGUGAGGGUGAGCGAAUCUCGGAAAGCCGGUCUCAGUUCGGAUUGGGGUCUGCAACUCGACCUCAUGAAGUCGGAGUCGCUAGUAAUCGCAGAUCAGCAACGCUGCGGUGAAUACGUUCCCGGGGCU
This 1346-nucleotide ribosomal RNA is filed under the name uncultured bacterium. Its description in RNAcentral is "bacterial SSU rRNA". It matches the Rfam family "Bacterial small subunit ribosomal RNA", at positions 28 to 1381 of the family's 1533-position model. The record is from RNAcentral.